AAAUGUAUAGCAUAAUGGUAGUGCGAUAGUCUUUUAAGCUAUCAGGUUUGGGUUCGAGUCCCAAUACAGACA
This 72-nucleotide transfer RNA is filed under the name Heterostelium pallidum. RNAcentral describes it as "tRNA-Lys". It matches the Rfam family "tRNA". Rfam says of the family: Transfer RNA (tRNA) molecules are approximately 80 nucleotides in length. Their secondary structure includes four short double-helical elements and three loops (D, anti-codon, and T loops). The record is from RNAcentral. Lineage: Eukaryota; Evosea; Eumycetozoa; Acytosteliales; Acytosteliaceae.